CGCGUAGGCGGCCAUGUAAGUCAGAUGUGAAAGUCCACGGCUCAACCGUGGAAGUGCAUUUGAAACUGUGUGGCUUGAGUACUGGAGGGGGUAGUGGAAUUCCCGGUGUAGAGGUGAAAUUCGUAGAUAUCGGGAGGAAUACCGGUGGCGAAGGCGACUACCUGGCCAGAUACUGACGCUGAGGUGCGAAAGCGUGGGGAGCAAACA
Molecule: ribosomal RNA, 207 nt
Filed under: uncultured bacterium
Lineage: Bacteria
Description: partial 16S ribosomal RNA
Rfam family: Bacterial small subunit ribosomal RNA
Source: RNAcentral